RNAcentral lists this transfer RNA (67 nucleotides) under Equus caballus (horse). RNAcentral's name for it is "transfer RNA-Pro". The record is from RNAcentral. Lineage: Eukaryota; Metazoa; Chordata; Mammalia; Perissodactyla; Equidae.
CAGGAAAUAUUUUAAUUAAAUUUUCAUUUUUGGGUGUUGAUGGUGAAGCUAAACUUUCUUCCUUAAU